This 1347-nucleotide long non-coding RNA is filed under the name Sus scrofa (pig). RNAcentral's name for it is "lncRNA (ENSSSCG00015054304.1)". The record is from RNAcentral. Lineage: Eukaryota; Metazoa; Chordata; Mammalia; Artiodactyla; Suidae.
GCAUUAAACUCUUUACUAAAAAGCAAAAAUUCAGGAUGAAGGAAAAGUAUGCUCCAAUUGUAUCUUAUCUAUGAAAUACAUUAAAUGUAAAGACACAUUUAGAUAGAAAGCAAAUAGUUGUAAAAAAUGUAUACCGUAGAAAUAGGAAACAAAUGUCUGGAGUGGAUAAAUUAUUAAUAAGUAAAAUAUGUACUGUUUUAUAAGUACGACGGAAAUUUGUAAAAAGUAGAGAAAAGUGUGAGGAUCAGCAAUAUUCAGAAAUUACCAUUUCAAAUCAAUUGGUCAAGGUAGACCUCAUGAAACAUGCGGCAUUUAAAUAACAACAGAAGAAGCUUUGCAUGAUUAAAAAGUGAGGAAAAUCCACAGAAAAGAAACUCAGGGACUUGGAGAAUAGACUUGUGGUUGCUGAGCGGGGGGAGGGGAAGGGAGUGGGGUGGUUGAGGAACUUGGGGUUAAUAGAUACAAACUAUUGCCUUUGGAACAGAUUAGCAAUGAGAUCCUGCUUUGUAGCACUGGGCACUAUGUCUAGUCACUUAUGAUGGAGCAUGAUAAUGUGCGAACAUAGAAUGUGUACAUGUAUGCGUAACUGGGUCACCAUGCUGUACAGCAGGAAAAAAAAUUGUAUUAGGGAAACAACUAUUAAAAUAAUAAUAAUAACAAAGACAAAGAAGUGAGGAAGAUCAAGUUCGGUGUCAUAACCUAGUUAGAGUGCUAAUGCUACUGGUGCUGUUGAUGCUGAUGAGAUGACUGGUCUCCAGGUUAUUUCCUCAGUCAUUGUAUAAAUAAUGCUGUUCCUUGUAUCAUUCACUCUGAUCCUUGUAUUAUUCACAUGCCCUUCCCUGACUGUUCCAAAAAACAAAGAGAAGAAACUGGAUCCAUUAUCUCAAGUCUUGGGAGAGAAGGACCUGGAAUUUCCCCUACUAAAGACUGUAAUCAGUGGUGAAGAGAAUCUAAGAAGACAGAAGGACAGCCAGCAAGGAUGAUCCCUAUUUAUGGCAAUGUAGAGAAGAAGUCCUGGAAACCGGAAGUACUGAUGCUCAGAGACACAUCAAAUGGAUCUAAGUGUACAACAUUAAACUCUUUUGGCUACUCUAUAAAAUACAUUUAAAAUCUUCUAAUGAUUCCUAUAGAUAUAACAUUCUUUCUGUUUAAUCCUUAAAGAAAGAUUAGAUUUGGUGAGCAGAAGAACUGCUUACUAGAACAGUUAUUAUCCUGGGUCAUUUGGGAGGUGGUGCUCUGGAUUGUCAAAUUAGGGUGCAAAUCCUAGCUAUAUUUUGGAUUAAACUGCCAUCGUCAUUCCUCAUGAUUGCAAACUUUUGAAUAAAAAUUGGCCUGGCAUGGGCUUCA